UACGUAGGGUGCGAGCGUUAAUCGGAAUUACUGGGCGUAAAGCGUGCGCAGGCGGUUUUGUAAGCCAGAUGUGAAAUCCCCGGGCUCAACCUGGGAAUGGCAUUUGGGACUGCAAGGCUGGAGUUUGGCAGAGGAGACUGGAAUUCCUGGUGUAGCAGUGAAAUGCGUAGAUAUCAGGAGGAAUACCGAUGGCGAAGGCUGGUCUCUGGGCUAUAACUGACGCUCAUGCACGAAAGCGUGGGGAGCAAACAGG
RNAcentral lists this ribosomal RNA (253 nucleotides) under uncultured bacterium. RNAcentral describes it as "partial 16S ribosomal RNA". It matches the Rfam family "Bacterial small subunit ribosomal RNA", at positions 524 to 776 of the family's 1533-position model. The record is from RNAcentral.